CACAAACGAUUGCACCUCAACAGAUCCAGCUGUAAAACUCAUAAAGUUCGCAGACGACACCACGGUCAUCGGUCUCAUCAAAGACGGCGACGAGUCUGCGUACCGCCAACAAGUGGAGCAGCUGGAGCUCUGGUGCGGCCGACACAACCUCGGGCUGAACACGCUCAAGACUGUAGAGAUGAUCGUGGACUUCAGGAAACAUUCUUCUCCUCAGUUGCCCCUCACACUAUCCAACUGCCCUGUGUCAACCGUCGAGACCUUCAAGUUCCUGGGAAUCACAGUCUCCCAGGACAUGAAGUGGGAAGCCAACACCAUCUCCAUCCUGAAAAGGGCCCGGCAGCGGAUGUACUUCCUGAGGCUGCUGAGGAAGCAUGGCCUGCCACAGGAGGUGCUACGACAGUUCUACAUGGCAGUCAUUGAAUCAAUCCUGUGUUCUUCCAUCACGGUUUGGUUUGGGGCCGCCACAAAAAAGGACAAAAUCCGACUUCAACGGACAGUUAGGACGGCAGAAAAAAUCAUUGGCACCGCCCUACCCACUCUUGAGGACUUGCACACUGCAAGAAUCAAGACAAGGGCACGGAAAAUCCUCCUGGAUCCCCCGCACCCUGCCUACCACCUUUUUCAGCCACUCCCCUCAGGCAGACGCUACAGAUCCAUGCGCACCAAAUCCAGCAGACACUUAAACAGCUUCUUCCCUCUAGCCAUUAACUCCUUAAACAGUCACUGACAUAGUCACUCUUCUUGCAUCACAAAAUGGUACUACAAAACUACUGGUUACUCUAAAAUGGUUCAAUGAUUUUGUUGUUUACGAUGAUACUAGUGCAGCGUGUUAUACCGGAGACAAAUUCCUUGUGUGUUCUACAUACUUGCCCAAUAAAGAUGAUUCUGAUUCUGAAACGGUACGUGUGAUCUACGAUUGUUAAUAGGCUGCAAAAGUGCGUGGCAUACCUCCGUGUCAGGGCGUUGCUCAUCAUGGCGUGCAUAUGUGCGUGCGCUUUUAACGGGUCGAUCGUGGGAUGUUUGUCGGUCAAAAAGUAGAUCUUCAUGAACAGAUGUUUGGACAUCCUGCCAUAGAGCAAAAAACAUUGAGUGAUCCUUUGAAAAGCCAAGUUGUGGCUGAGCAGAUUCAGAAAAUUAAACAGUAUUUUAUUGAUGCAUGAUACCGUCAGUUCUUCUAUCUCAGGGGUGGCCAACAAGUCAGAGACUAAGAGCCAAUUUUUUUUUACUGUUACUGCAAAGAGCCACAUCAUACCCUUUCCCGCGCGCGCACACACGGCCACUUUUUUGCCCAUAGAUCAAGUUUUGAAGCGACCAACUUCCCACGAUCGACCCGAUCGCGCACGUGCGAGCACACACACACACACACACGCACAGAUGCACCCACACGUACACGCACGUGGGAGCCCACCCAUGCACGCACGCACGCCACGAUGAGCAACAGUCGGAACGGGCCGAAAAUGAACGAAAGCUAAAGACACAAACAAACAAAUCUUUUGUUCCCAUCCAUUUCCUCCUCCAACCCCUUGCGGUCGACUUGGAACCAGUUCGCUGUCUCCCGGUCGAUUGCGAUUGACGUAUUGGGCACCCCUGCCUUAAAAUCAGGUAAUUCGCUGACUAGUUUAGCGCUUAGCACCGUUGUUUGCGCUUGAGCGGUGAAGCAUCAUCUGAUUGGUUGCCAUCUAUGUCAAUCAACGGGAUUGGUGAUUGGUUGACGUAGUACGUUCUGUGUAUUUAGCGCCUUUGUUUGAAUGGCAUCGCCACUGCCGAGGUGUUUUCGGUACUUGUGUGAAAGCCCGGGAGCCGCAUGCGGGUCACGAGCCGCAGGUUGGCCACCCCUGUUCUAUCUAAUGCGUAUUAAAGCAAGCCUUUCUGGUCACUAGUCGUACAGUAUUAACACAUACACUUGUUUUUAUCUUUAAAUCCAUCAAUACCAAUGUUUCUGUUCUGUUCCCUCUUAAGGCCUUAAUCUGUCUGGUCGACAAAAAGUCAGGAGAGAAGAGUAAGACGCGGCCACGAUUUGUGAAACAAGACCAGGUCUGCAUUGCUCGUCUGCGCACGGCAGGCACCAUUUGCCUCGAGACCUUUAAAGACUUUCCUCAGAUGGGACGGUUUACCUUACGGGAUGAAGGGAAGACCAUUGCCAUCGGUAAAGUUCUGAAGCUGGUUGCAGAGCGGGACUGAAGACGCAGAUGUUCGAAAAAGCCAGUUUGGAAGAAACAGGUGGAGCUCGGUCAUAACCCGCCCAGUGUUGUCAGCGACAAAGACACCUUUCUAUGUCGCCUACCUUCUGUGUGCCGAUGAUCAGCUUCAGAAAAAGAAACUAAAGAGAAACCAGUUUUUAAGUCUGAAAUCCAAGAUGAAGUCCACUCAAGUCAGCUUUCUCAUAUUGAGAGCUCAGCUAUGCCAUUUCUGGGUUAGCCCGCCCUCCAUCUUUCCCUGCUUCUUUUGUCUGGCCAAUUCAUCAUGGCAGUAUUUUUUUUUCUUUCUCUAUUCCAUUUUAUUUUGUUUUCAUGAAUGACAAAUGACAGAAGCUACAUCUGUGAACAAAUGUGGACCAAGAUUUUUGCUUGGAGUGCAAAUUGACUUCAGAAAUGUGCUGCAAAAACAAAUGGUUUGAAAGAAUUUCA
Long non-coding RNA from Hippocampus zosterae (dwarf seahorse), 2627 nucleotides. RefSeq lists it as uncharacterized. The transcript is spliced from 2 exons. The record is from RefSeq and is a predicted model, not a curated record. Lineage: Eukaryota; Metazoa; Chordata; Actinopteri; Syngnathiformes; Syngnathidae.